AAUGCUUGGGAACAUGCCUUGAGGUGGGGGACAACAGUUGGAAACGACUGCUAAUACCGCAUAGUGUCUACGGACCAAGGGGGGCUUCGGCUCUCGCCUUUAGAUUGGCCCAAGUGGGAUUAGCUAGUUGGUGAGGUAAUGGCUCACCAGGGCAACGAUCCCUAUCUGGUUUGAGAGGAUGAUCAGCCACACUGGAACUGAGACACGGUCCACACUCCUACGGGAGGCAGCAGUGGGGAAUAUUGCACAGUGGGCGAAAGCCUGAUGCACCCAUGCCGCGUGUGUGAAGAAGGCCUUCGGGUUGUAAAGCACUUUCAGUCAGGAGGAAAGGGUGUGAGUUAAUACCUCAUAUCUGUGACGUUACUGACAGAAGAAGCACCGGCUAACUCCGUGCCAGCAGCCGCGGUAAUACGGAGGGUGCGAGCGUUAAUCGGAAUUACUGGGCGUAAAGCGUACGCAGGCGGUUUGUUAAGCGAGAUGUGAAAGCCCCGGGCUCAACCUGGGAACUGCAUUUCAAACUGGCAAACUAGAGUGUGAUAGAGGGUGGUAGAAUUUCAGGUGUAGGGGUGAAAUGCCGUAGAGAUUCUAAAGAAAUACCGAGGGCGAAGGCAGCCACCUGGGUCAACACUGACUCUCAUGUACGAAAGCGUGGGGAGCAAACGGGAUUAGACACCCCGGUAGUCCACGCCGUACACGAUGUCUACUAGAAGCUCAGAACCUCGGCUCUGUUUUACAAAGCUCACGCAUUAAAGUACACCGCCUGGGGUGUACGGCCGCAAGGUUAAAUCUCAUAUGAAUUGACGGGGGCCCGCACAGCGGUGGAGCAUGGUGGUUUUAUUCGAUGCACGCGAGACUUACCUACUUUGACAUACAGAGACUUCUAGAGAUAGAUUGUGCUUCGGAACUCUGAUACAGGUGCUGCAUGCUGUCGUCAGCUCGGUCGGAGAUGUUGGGUAAGUCCGCACGAGCCAACCUAUCUUAGUGCUACAGUAUGCUGAACCCUUAGACUGCGGUUAACGGAGGAGUAGACACCAGUCUAUGGCUUACGUAGUACGGUUCAUGGCCCAAGUCACUGGAGGGAA
This 1082-nucleotide ribosomal RNA is filed under the name marine bacterium SIMO-4478. RNAcentral's name for it is "bacterial SSU rRNA". It matches the Rfam family "Bacterial small subunit ribosomal RNA", at positions 112 to 1178 of the family's 1533-position model. The record is from RNAcentral.